GGCAUCCCGACCAAGCAGAGCCGGAUUUUCUGGGUCAUUCAGCAUGUCGUGUAGAGCUUGAUCAAAUCUUCCCCAAUGUAUUCCGUCAUCAAGUGGCAUCUGUUCACCUUCUUGUCAACUUGCUGAACUAUUAUUAGGGUCUUCUAUUGGUUCUAGAAUCCCAAAUAUUAAAAGUCUACGCACUGGCAUGUUCGCUCCUUCGCCUAUAUCAACCGACGUUUGCAAAACAGGGACCACCAUAUCAUCAUCUGAGUCAGUGUCACUGG
RNAcentral lists this long non-coding RNA (266 nucleotides) under Brassica napus (rape). RNAcentral describes it as "long non-coding RNA (BNAP_LNC001484)". Lineage: Eukaryota; Viridiplantae; Streptophyta; Magnoliopsida; Brassicales; Brassicaceae. The record is from RNAcentral.